GGUGGUUCUCAGGUGAUGAACCCCAGAAUUGACCCUCUCUGGUUCUGGGGUGCAUCACCCGAGAACUGCC
This is a non-coding RNA of Myotis davidii, 70 nucleotides long. Lineage: Eukaryota; Metazoa; Chordata; Mammalia; Chiroptera; Vespertilionidae. The record is from Rfam.